GUUCUCAAGCUCUUCUUUGUUCCGGUGUGGAGAUGGCCGGGAAAAGAGCCGGUGAUGUACUGCAACGACUGCAAACUCUUCUUCCCUCAAUCUCUAACUCCUCCUCCGCCGUCGUCUACGGCGGACGUACUUAGAUGUCAGUUCUGUCGCCGGGAAGUGGACGCCGAUUUCCGAUUCUGUCCCUUUUGUGGUAAUGCACUGUGACUGAAUAUUCUAUAUUAUGUAAUUACAGUCGCUUCUGGGUUUGAAAUACUUUGUAAUUAUGUUCCUCUUCCUGUCUUGUAAUCAAUGAGUUUGUGGAAUAAAUUUGAGCUUUAG
This 318-nucleotide unclassified non-coding RNA is filed under the name Hevea brasiliensis (rubber tree). The record is from RNAcentral. Lineage: Eukaryota; Viridiplantae; Streptophyta; Magnoliopsida; Malpighiales; Euphorbiaceae.